UGGAAGGGCCAUCGCUCAACGGAUAAAAGCUACCCCGGGGAUAACAGGCUGAUCUCCCCCAAGAGUCCACAUCGACGGGGAGGUUUGGCACCUCGAUGUCGGCUCAUCGCAUCCUGGGGCUGUAGUCGGUCCCAAGGGUUGGGCUGUUCGCCCAUUAAAGCGGUACGCGAGCUGGGUUCAGAACGUCGUGAGACAGUUCGGUCCCUAUCCGUCGCGGGCGUAGGAAAUUUGAGAGGAGCUGUCCUUAGUACGAGAGGACCGGGAUGGACGCACCGCUGGUGUACCAGUUGUCCCGCCAGGGGCACCGCUGGGUAGCUAUGUGCGGACGGGAUAAGCGCUGAAAGCAUCUAAGCGUGAAGCCCACCUCAAGAUGAGAUUUCCCACCGCGUCAGGCGGGUAAGAUCCCUCGAAGAUGACGAGGUCGAUAGGUCCGAGGUGGAAGCGUGGCGACACGUGGAGCUGACGGAUACUAAUCGAUCGAGGGCUUAACCUAA
RNAcentral lists this ribosomal RNA (494 nucleotides) under Geobacillus stearothermophilus. RNAcentral describes it as "bacterial LSU rRNA". It matches the Rfam family "Bacterial large subunit ribosomal RNA", at positions 2434 to 2925 of the family's 2925-position model. Lineage: Bacteria; Bacillati; Bacillota; Bacilli; Caryophanales; Anoxybacillaceae. The record is from RNAcentral.